RNAcentral lists this unclassified non-coding RNA (505 nucleotides) under Hevea brasiliensis (rubber tree). The record is from RNAcentral. Lineage: Eukaryota; Viridiplantae; Streptophyta; Magnoliopsida; Malpighiales; Euphorbiaceae.
AAUGAAGUAGCUCUAUUGUCUAUAUUAUUUUUCCCACAAAUCUCCGUUUGCCGAUCUUUCCAAAGCUCAAUCCCAGAAAAGCGUCACCACUGCCAGCCUUCGAUCCUUCGAAAGAUCCGAUCAGAUCUCUCUCACUGCACUUCUCAUACAGUUUUCUUUCUCUCUCUAUGCAUACACCUGUAUCGAUUGUUUUCUGCUACUCCAUUCUCCGGUUUGUCGAAAAUUCUUGAACAAGAAUUUGUUAGACUCUGUGAACUGUGUAAUUUGUGUGCUUUGUCGUGAAAAAGGAGUCGUUUGGUGUAAUUUGUUGAAAAGUUAGGUUUUUUGGGGGGAAAGUUUUAGAUCGUGACCUAGGGUUUCUGAAGAUCAGAAAUUGAUAAAAAAAAUUGGGUCUAUUCUUUAUUUUUCUUGCUUUCUUAGUGUGGUGUGAGUGAGUGUAUGAGGAUUUGGUGUUGUUUAUGUUUUGGAGAAGAAGAAGAUAAUAAGAAGGGCUACAAGAGUAUGA